AAGUAGCGCAGAGUUGUUCCUACGAACUGCACUUUUCUUCCUACACAGCUCAUGCGAAUCAAAACGGUAGUAGUAACGAGCAGCUUUGCUUUCUUUACUCCUGUGCUACUCUACUCUACUGAUGUGCUGCGCAUGCGCAUUAAUUUUCACCAGCCCGGUUACGACUCAGUGGAAACGAGUAGAAAUGAGUCUUAGAAAGCUGAUAAAAGAUACCCAGAAGACAAAUCCUUCUUACUUUUUGAAAUACUUUAAGCAAGACGAUACUUAUUCUAUUGUGAAAGCAAACUGUGUAGAAGUUGAGCAGCUGGAAGCUGGUACCUCCUGCAGAGUAAGGGAUGGAAAGGACUUUCAUGAUGGCACAAUAGUCACCUUUGGAGAUAAGAAAGAUGUAAGUAAUGCAGCAGGUGAUAUUAUUGAGAAGAUUGAGAAAGAGUCAGCGGAGAAUUUGGAGAAAGAGUCAGCCAAGAAUAUGGAGAAACAGUCAGCUGAGAGUAUGAAGAAUGAGUCAGACUACAAAGCGUGGCACAAUAAAAAGGAAAGCUAAGAAAAGUACCACCGAAUAAAGAAACCUAAAAUAGAAAAAGGAAAGGAAGGUGAAGAAAUGCACAGUUAAUAUUGUUGCUGUUGGUUGUGCUACAAAUAAUGAAUCUGC
Molecule: unclassified non-coding RNA, 652 nt
Filed under: Amphimedon queenslandica
Lineage: Eukaryota; Metazoa; Porifera; Demospongiae; Haplosclerida; Niphatidae
Description: uncharacterized LOC109592483, transcript variant X3
Source: RNAcentral